This 467-nucleotide ribosomal RNA is filed under the name uncultured bacterium. Its description in RNAcentral is "bacterial SSU rRNA". It matches the Rfam family "Bacterial small subunit ribosomal RNA", at positions 28 to 507 of the family's 1533-position model. RNAcentral also lists the same sequence under 1 other name. The record is from RNAcentral.
GACGAACGCUGGCGGCAUGCCUAAUACAUGCAAGUCGAACGCGGCCAUCCGGUGCUUGCACUGGUGAAGCCGAGUGGCGAACGGGUGAGUAACACGUGAGAAACCUGCCCUGGAGUGGGGAAUAACUCGAAGAAAUUCGAGCUAAUACCGCAUACCUUCUCUUCACCGCAUGGUGAGUUGAAGAAAGAUUUAUCGCUCUAGGAGGGUCUCGCGGCCUAUCAGCUAGUUGGUGAGGUAAUGGCUCACCAAGGCAUCGACGGGUAGCUGGUCUGAGAGGACGAUCAGCCACACUGGGACUGAGACACGGCCCAGACUCCUACGGGAGGCAGCAGUAGGGAAUCUUGCGCAAUGGGCGAAAGCCUGACGCAGCAAUGCCGCGUGCGGGACGAAGGCCCUAGGGUCGUAAACCGCUUUCAGUAGGGACGAAAAUGACGGUACCUGCAGAAGAAGCUCCGGCCAACUACGUG